RNAcentral lists this ribosomal RNA (352 nucleotides) under uncultured bacterium. RNAcentral describes it as "bacterial SSU rRNA". It matches the Rfam family "Bacterial small subunit ribosomal RNA", at positions 527 to 881 of the family's 1533-position model. The record is from RNAcentral.
GGAGGAUCCAAGCGUUAUCCGGAUUUAUUGGGUUUAAAGGGAGCGUAGGCGGGGUAUUAAGUCAGUUGUGAAAGUUUGCGGCUCAACCGUAAAAUUGCAGUUGAUACUGGUAUCCUUGAGUGCAGCAUAGGUGGGCGGAAUUCGUGGUGUAGCGGUGAAAUGCUUAGAUAUCACGAAGAACCCCGAUUGCGAAGGCAGCUUGCUAAACUGUAACUGACGUUCAUGCUCGAAAGUGUGGGUAUCAAACAGGAUUAGAUACCCUGGUAGUCCACACGGUAAACGAUGGAUACUCGCUGUUGGCGAUAUACUGUCAGCGGCCAAGCGAAAGCAUUAAGUAUUCCACCUGGGGAGU